GGGUCAGUAGGUUGGUCGUGCCACCGGUACGUACUGGUCUCACUGAUUCCUCCUUCCUGAAGAACCGUAAUGCCAUUAAUUUGGUGUUGCGGGGAAACAGGAAUGUUACUUUGAAAAAAUUAGAGUGUUUAAAGCAAGCUAACGCUUGAAUACAUUAGCAUGGAAUAAUGAAAUAGGACGAUCGAUCCUAUUUUGUUGGUUUCUUGGAUUGACGUA
This 216-nucleotide ribosomal RNA is filed under the name Glomeromycotina sp. RNAcentral's name for it is "partial small subunit ribosomal RNA". The stretch from base 40 to 216 matches the Rfam family "Eukaryotic small subunit ribosomal RNA", at positions 686 to 864 of the family's 1831-position model. The record is from RNAcentral. Lineage: Eukaryota; Fungi; Glomeromycota.